RNAcentral lists this long non-coding RNA (641 nucleotides) under Cyanistes caeruleus (blue tit). RNAcentral describes it as "lncRNA (ENSCCEG00000004545.1)". The record is from RNAcentral. Lineage: Eukaryota; Metazoa; Chordata; Aves; Passeriformes; Paridae.
GAGAUAUUCCCGGUAUUCCCGGGAUCCCCGGGAUAUUCCCGGUAUCCCCGUUAUUCCCGGGAUAUUCCCGGUAUCCCCGGGAUAUUCCCGGUAUCCCCGUUAUUCCCGGGAUAUUCCCGGUAUCCCCGUUAUUCCCGGGAUAUUCCCGGUAUCCCCGGGAUAUUCCCGGUAUCCCCGUUAUCACCGAGAUAUUCCCGGUAUUCCCGUUAUCCCCGGGAUAUUCCCGUUAUUCCCGGGAUAUUCCCGGUAUCCCCGUUAUCCCUGGGAUAUUCCCGUUAUCCCCGUUAUCCCCGGGAUAUUCCCGGUAUCCCCGUUAUCCCCGGGAUAUUCCCGGUAUCCCCGUUAUUCCCGGGAUCCCCCUCUCCCGGUGCAGAUGUUCCCGGUUCGGGUCCCGGCAGCCGCAGCGGGAGCCGCGAGCGGGGCGGGGAUGGCGGCACCGGGGACACCCCCACGGAACCGGCCCGGAGACGGCACGACCCCGGCAGGGAAAUCCCGGCCUGGAUCUCACGGGGAAUGCGGGCUGCAGGGAAAUCCCGGCCUGGAUCUCACGGGGAAUGCGGGCUGCAGGGAAAUCCCGGCCUGGAUCUCACGGGGAAUGCGGGCUGCAGGGAAAUCCCGGCCUGGAUCCGGGGGGCUCCAGG